GGCAGCGCCUCUUUCUCCUUCCUUCUCACGUUAUUUUUUUCUGGAAAAACAAACUUUCUUCUUCUCUCAUACCGAUUUAACAACAACACAAAUCUCUCUCGGUUUCUCUCUUCCACGAUAAUCACCAUGAAUUUCCGUUCUCAACCUUAUCUCUCUCGCGAAGGACACAACAACAAUGGUCUCCCUCGGUGCUCACUUUACGGCAACAAACAGCGGCCCUUUCUCCAUCUCUUGCUCUCAAUCGAUAAAAACGACUCCUCACCGGAAGUUUUACGGCGGCCAUGGAUGAACAAGAGGUUCCUUAAAGAUAAUACAGGAACAAUAUAUUUGUAGCAACUGAUAAAAGCAAUAUUGAGAGCAAGGGGUGAAGUCAACUUACCUGCGGCAAGAGAUGUUUUCCGGAAUUUUGUUAAGCUUCACAAUAACUUGUUGCUGGAAGCGUCGGGUGCUGUGUUGAAGAUGAUGUGGGGCUGCCACUGAAGUCCGAAGG
Molecule: long non-coding RNA, 490 nt
Organism: Vicia villosa (hairy vetch)
Lineage: Eukaryota; Viridiplantae; Streptophyta; Magnoliopsida; Fabales; Fabaceae
Exons: 3
Source: RefSeq, a predicted model, not a curated record